AAAUUGCAGAAGGUGGCUUUACUUGGAACUGCUUCCGAUGUGACGAUAUCUGUAACACCGUCAAGCAAAAAGAACUGGAGAUCAUAAAAUGCAAAGACCUGCAACAGAAAGAGAAUGACUGUGGCAAAAAAAAGCAAAGAUUCAAGUCUGGAAUUCCCUCAAAGCAACCCAAGCACUUUGCACAACCUUCAAAGUUUUGGUGCUAUAUAUUCCCAUUUAAUUUACUCAACCAAGGUCAAGCAAGGAAACACAUUAAUCAUCAGAAAUGCUACUUGUAAGAUUUAAGUUAAAAUUGGAACUUGAGAGCCAGAGAGUUAUAAAGGACUACACGGAUCAUUUACACCAUUUACAUCAGAGACAUUGGCUGAAUUGUCCAGAUUAAAACCAAUACCUGGAAGAUGCUUGAUUGUUCAUAAAACCAACUUCAUUUAGC
Pantherophis guttatus is the source of this 433-nucleotide long non-coding RNA. RefSeq lists it as uncharacterized. The record is from RefSeq and is a predicted model, not a curated record. NCBI's taxonomy places the organism in Eukaryota, Metazoa, Chordata, Lepidosauria, Squamata, Colubridae.